This 437-nucleotide ribosomal RNA is filed under the name uncultured Oscillospiraceae bacterium. RNAcentral describes it as "partial 16S ribosomal RNA". It matches the Rfam family "Bacterial small subunit ribosomal RNA", at positions 341 to 792 of the family's 1533-position model. Lineage: Bacteria; Bacillati; Bacillota; Clostridia; Eubacteriales; Oscillospiraceae. The record is from RNAcentral.
ACGGGAGGCAGCAGUGGGGAAUAUUGGGCAAUGGGCGAAAGCCUGACCCAGCAACGCCGCGUGAAGGAAGAAGGUCUUCGGAUUGUAAACUUCUUUUAUGAGGGACGAAGGACGUGACGGUACCUCAUGAAUAAGCCACGGCUAACUAUGUGCCAGCAGCCACGGUAAUACAUAGGGAGCAAGCGUUAUCCGGACUUACUGGGUGUAAAGGGUGCGUAGGCGGCAUGGUAAGUCAGUCGUUAAAGACCAGAGCUUAACUCUGGACCAGCGAUUGAAACUAUCAAGCUAGAGUACAGGAGAGGUUAGUGGAAUUACUAGUGUAGAGGUGGAAUUCAUAGAUAUUAGUAAGAACACCAAUGGCGAAGGCAGCUAACUGGCCUGAAACUGACGCUGAGGCACGAAAGUGUGGGGAGCAAACAGGAUUAGAUACCCUGGUA